GUUGAUUUAUUUUUCCUAGUCACCAAGGUGUAUAAAAAUGUAAAAUGUCUGUGGGAAUAGAGCUCAAAUAUAUAUUUUUUCAUAUGAAUUAAUACGGGUGUCAAUAAUUGUGCCGCACAUAUAUUUAACAAAGAUUUCUUUUUUUAUAAAUGAUGUGUUUGCAAUUGUUUGAUAUCCAUGAGAGCAGAGUAUUUUGUGUAUUUUUUAAACAAAAGAUCAAAGGUUUAAACAAUAAAGAAAAAUGUCCAAAGCAUUAUUUGCUCAUAUUUACCAAGGGUGCCAAUAUCAGAGGAGGGCACUGUAUUUUUGCUGAAUAGAGUUGUCGCUUACCUAAUGUAU
Molecule: non-coding RNA, 339 nt
Organism: Pelobates cultripes (western spadefoot toad)
Lineage: Eukaryota; Metazoa; Chordata; Amphibia; Anura; Pelobatidae
Source: the annotation of a GenBank genome assembly